This 69-nucleotide transfer RNA is filed under the name Myrmica scabrinodis. RNAcentral's name for it is "transfer RNA-His". Lineage: Eukaryota; Metazoa; Arthropoda; Insecta; Hymenoptera; Formicidae. The record is from RNAcentral.
AUUUAAGUAGUUUAAACUAAAAUAUUAAUUUGUGGAAUUAAUGAUAUAUAUAAUAUGAUAUCUUAAAUU